AAAUUAUAGCUUAUUAGAAAGCUUUUUAUUUACAUUAAAAUGAAAAAUGUGCAAUUCAAUUUAAUUUGAA
This 70-nucleotide transfer RNA is filed under the name Ptilodactylidae sp. 2 ACP-2013. RNAcentral describes it as "tRNA-Val". Lineage: Eukaryota; Metazoa; Arthropoda; Insecta; Coleoptera; Ptilodactylidae. The record is from RNAcentral.